Molecule: ribosomal RNA, 2345 nt
Filed under: Escherichia coli
Lineage: Bacteria; Pseudomonadati; Pseudomonadota; Gammaproteobacteria; Enterobacterales; Enterobacteriaceae
Description: partial 23S ribosomal RNA
Rfam family: Bacterial large subunit ribosomal RNA
Source: RNAcentral
AAUGGGUCAGCGACUUAUAUUCUGUAGCAAGGUUAACCGAAUAGGGGAGCCGAAGGGAAACCGAGUCUUAACUGGGCGUUAAGUUGCAGGGUAUAGACCCGAAACCCGGUGAUCUAGCCAUGGGCAGGUUGAAGGUUGGGUAACACUAACUGGAGGACCGAACCGACUAAUGUUGAAAAAUUAGCGGAUGACUUGUGGCUGGGGGUGAAAGGCCAAUCAAACCGGGAGAUAGCUGGUUCUCCCCGAAAGCUAUUUAGGUAGCGCCUCGUGAAUUCAUCUCCGGGGGUAGAGCACUGUUUCGGCAAGGGGGUCAUCCCGACUUACCAACCCGAUGCAAACUGCGAAUACCGGAGAAUGUUAUCACGGGAGACACACGGCGGGUGCUAACGUCCGUCGUGAAGAGGGAAACAACCCAGACCGCCAGCUAAGGUCCCAAAGUCAUGGUUAAGUGGGAAACGAUGUGGGAAGGCCCAGACAGCCAGGAUGUUGGCUUAGAAGCAGCCAUCAUUUAAAGAAAGCGUAAUAGCUCACUGGUCGAGUCGGCCUGCGCGGAAGAUGUAACGGGGCUAAACCAUGCACCGAAGCUGCGGCAGCGACGCUUAUGCGUUGUUGGGUAGGGGAGCGUUCUGUAAGCCUGCGAAGGUGUGCUGUGAGGCAUGCUGGAGGUAUCAGAAGUGCGAAUGCUGACAUAAGUAACGAUAAAGCGGGUGAAAAGCCCGCUCGCCGGAAGACCAAGGGUUCCUGUCCAACGUUAAUCGGGGCAGGGUGAGUCGACCCCUAAGGCGAGGCCGAAAGGCGUAGUCGAUGGGAAACAGGUUAAUAUUCCUGUACUUGGUGUUACUGCGAAGGGGGGACGGAGAAGGCUAUGUUGGCCGGGCGACGGUUGUCCCGGUUUAAGCGUGUAGGCUGGUUUUCCAGGCAAAUCCGGAAAAUCAAGGCUGAGGCGUGAUGACGAGGCACUACGGUGCUGAAGCAACAAAUGCCCUGCUUCCAGGAAAAGCCUCUAAGCAUCAGGUAACAUCAAAUCGUACCCCAAACCGACACAGGUGGUCAGGUAGAGAAUACCAAGGCGCUUGAGAGAACUCGGGUGAAGGAACUAGGCAAAAUGGUGCCGUAACUUCGGGAGAAGGCACGCUGAUAUGUAGGUGAGGUCCCUCGCGGAUGGAGCUGAAAUCAGUCGAAGAUACCAGCUGGCUGCAACUGUUUAUUAAAAACACAGCACUGUGCAAACACGAAAGUGGACGUAUACGGUGUGACGCCUGCCCGGUGCCGGAAGGUUAAUUGAUGGGGUUAGCGGUAACGCGAAGCUCUUGAUCGAAGCCCCGGUAAACGGCGGCCGUAACUAUAACGGUCCUAAGGUAGCGAAAUUCCUUGUCGGGUAAGUUCCGACCUGCACGAAUGGCGUAAUGAUGGCCAGGCUGUCUCCACCCGAGACUCAGUGAAAUUGAACUCGCUGUGAAGAUGCAGUGUACCCGCGGCAAGACGGAAAGACCCCGUGAACCUUUACUAUAGCUUGACACUGAACAUUGAGCCUUGAUGUGUAGGAUAGGUGGGAGGCUUAGAAGUGUGGACGCCAGUCUGCAUGGAGCCGACCUUGAAAUACCACCCUUUAAUGUUUGAUGUUCUAACGUUGACCCGUAAUCCGGGUUGCGGACAGUGUCUGGUGGGUAGUUUGACUGGGGCGGUCUCCUCCUAAAGAGUAACGGAGGAGCACGAAGGUUGGCUAAUCCUGGUCGGACAUCAGGAGGUUAGUGCAAUGGCAUAAGCCAGCUUGACUGCGAGCGUGACGGCGCGAGCAGGUGCGAAAGCAGGUCAUAGUGAUCCGGUGGUUCUGAAUGGAAGGGCCAUCGCUCAACGGAUAAAAGGUACUCCGGGGAUAACAGGCUGAUACCGCCCAAGAGUUCAUAUCGACGGCGGUGUUUGGCACCUCGAUGUCGGCUCAUCACAUCCUGGGGCUGAAGUAGGUCCCAAGGGUAUGGCUGUUCGCCAUUUAAAGUGGUACGCGAGCUGGGUUUAGAACGUCGUGAGACAGUUCGGUCCCUAUCUGCCGUGGGCGCUGGAGAACUGAGGGGGGCUGCUCCUAGUACGAGAGGACCGGAGUGGACGCAUCACUGGUGUUCGGGUUGUCAUGCCAAUGGCACUGCCCGGUAGCUAAAUGCGGAAGAGAUAAGUGCUGAAAGCAUCUAAGCACGAAACUUGCCCCGAGAUGAGUUCUCCCUGACUCCUUGAGAGUCCUGAAGGAACGUUGAAGACGACGACGUUGAUAGGCCGGGUGUGUAAGCGCAGCGAUGCGUUGAGCUAACCGGUACUAAUGAACCGUGAGGCUUAACCUUACAACGCCGAAG